GCACCGGGUAGCAGUCUCGAGUGGGUGUCCCUCAUCUGGGCGUCGGGUACUACAAACUACGGCCCAGCAGUGAAACAUCGAGCCACAGUCUCCCGGGACAAUUCCCGUUCCGAGUCAUCUCUGUCCCUGGGGGACCUGCGCCCUCAGGACUCUGCCUGCUACUUCUGUGCCGUUCCCAUAGAGACAGGAAAUCCAGCAGAGCUUUAA
Balearica regulorum gibbericeps (East African grey crowned-crane) is the source of this 207-nucleotide non-coding RNA. The record is from the annotation of a RefSeq genome assembly. Lineage: Eukaryota; Metazoa; Chordata; Aves; Gruiformes; Gruidae.